GCAGACACACUCUGUUCUUUGCUGCUUACUCCAGCCUGGGACUUUUUCUGUCUGCUAAAUAAACACGCAGGAUGUAACACUGCUAGCUUUCCAUAAAGCCAGCGGUGGUCACUUUUUCUGCUACAUUUUA
Small nucleolar RNA from Cyprinodon variegatus (sheepshead minnow), 130 nucleotides. Ensembl annotates it as small nucleolar RNA, H/ACA box 77B. The record is from Ensembl. NCBI's taxonomy places the organism in Eukaryota, Metazoa, Chordata, Actinopteri, Cyprinodontiformes, Cyprinodontidae.